CAGCCGCCGCGGUAAUACGUAGGUGGCAAGCGUUGUCCGGAAUUAUUGGGCGUAAAGGGCUCGCAGGCGGUUCCUUAAGUCUGAUGUGAAAGCCCCCGGCUCAACCGGGGAGGGUCAUUGGAAACUGGGAAACUUGAGUGCAGAAGAGGAGAGUGGAAUUCCACGUGUAGCGGUGAAAUGCGUAGAGAUGUGGAGGAACACCAGUGGCGAAGGCGACUCUCUGGUCUGUAACUGACGCUGAGGAGCGAAAGCGUGGGGAGCGAACAGGAUUAGAUACCCCUGUAGUCCCUGUCUCUUAUAC
RNAcentral lists this ribosomal RNA (301 nucleotides) under uncultured bacterium. RNAcentral describes it as "partial 16S ribosomal RNA". It matches the Rfam family "Bacterial small subunit ribosomal RNA", at positions 509 to 807 of the family's 1533-position model. The record is from RNAcentral.